Molecule: ribosomal RNA, 253 nt
Filed under: uncultured bacterium
Lineage: Bacteria
Description: partial 16S ribosomal RNA
Rfam family: Bacterial small subunit ribosomal RNA
Source: RNAcentral
UACGGGGGGGGUAAGCGUUGUUCGGAAUUACUGGGCGUAAAGCGCGUGUAGGCGGCCUUGCAAGUCGGAUGUGAAAGCCCACGGCUCAACCGUGGAAGUGCAUCCGAAACUGCAUAGCUUGAGUCUCGGAGAGGAAGGUGGAAUGCUUGGUGUAGAGGUGAAAUUCGUAGAUAUCAAGCAGAACACCUGCGGCGAAGGCGGCUUCCUGGACACCAACUGACGCUGAGACGCGAAAGCGUGGGGAGCAAACAGG